UACGUAGGGUGCGAGCGUUAAUCGGAAUUACUGGGCGUAAAGCGUGCGCAGGCGGUUAUGUAAGACAGAUGUGAAAUCCCCGGGCUCAACCUGGGAACUGCAUUUGUGACUGCAUGGCUAGAGUGUGGCAGAGGGGGGUAGAAUUCCACGUGUAGCAGUGAAAUGCGUAGAUAUGUGGAGGAAUACCGAUGGCGAAGGCAGCCCCCUGGGCCAAGACUGACGCUCAUGCACGAAAGCGUGGGGAGCAAACAGG
RNAcentral lists this ribosomal RNA (253 nucleotides) under uncultured bacterium. RNAcentral's name for it is "partial 16S ribosomal RNA". It matches the Rfam family "Bacterial small subunit ribosomal RNA", at positions 524 to 776 of the family's 1533-position model. The record is from RNAcentral.